GACGAACGCUGGCGGCGUGCUUAACACAUGCAAGUCGAACGGUAAGGCCCUUCGGGGUACACGAGUGGCGAACGGGUGAGUAACACGUGGGUGAUCUGCCCUGCACUUCGGGAUAAGCCUGGGAAACUGGGUCUAAUACCGGAUAGGACCCUGGGAUGCAUGUCCUGGGGUGGAAAGCUUUUGCGGUGUGGGAUGGGCCCGCGGCCUAUCAGCUUGUUGGUGGGGUGAUGGCCUACCAAGGCGACGACGGGUAGCCGGCCUGAGAGGGUGACCGGCGACACUGGGACUGAGAUACGGCCCAGCCUCCUACGGGAGGCAGCAGUGGGGAAUAUUGCACAAUGGGCGCAAGCCUGAUGCAGCGGCGCCGCGUGAGGGAUGACGGCCUUCGGGUUGUAAACCUCUUUCAGCACCGACGAAGCGCAAGUGACGGUAGGUGCAGAAGAAGGACCGGCCAACUACGUGCCAGCCGCCGCCGUAA
This 478-nucleotide ribosomal RNA is filed under the name uncultured bacterium. Its description in RNAcentral is "partial 16S ribosomal RNA". It matches the Rfam family "Bacterial small subunit ribosomal RNA", at positions 28 to 523 of the family's 1533-position model. The record is from RNAcentral.